RNA transcript from Balaenoptera acutorostrata (minke whale), 955 nucleotides. It is a transcript of the gene named histone H2A type 1-D-like, with no coding region annotated. NCBI's taxonomy places the organism in Eukaryota, Metazoa, Chordata, Mammalia, Artiodactyla, Balaenopteridae. The record is from RefSeq and is a predicted model, not a curated record. The transcript has 3 exons.
CUUUACUUUCAGUAUGUCUGGACGUGGCAAGCAAGGGGCCAAAGCUCGCGCCAAGGCCAAGACUCGCUCCUCGCGGGCCGGGCUCCAGUUCCCCGUGGGCCGAGUGCACCGCCUCCUUCGCAAGGGCAACUACUCCGAGCGGGUUGGGGCCGGCGCGCCGGUGUACCUGGCGGCGGUGCUGGAGUACCUGACGGCCGAGAUCCUGGAGCUGGCGGGCAACGCGGCCCGCGACAACAAGAAGACGCGUAUCAUCCCGCGCCACCUGCAGCUGGCCAUCCGCAACGACGAGGAGCUCAACAAGCUGCUGGGUAAAGUCACUAUUGCUCAGGGCGGCGUUCUGCCCAACAUCCAGGCGGUGCUGCUGCCCAAAAAGACCGAGAGCCACCACAAGACCAAGGGCAAGUAGAAGGGCAAAUGUCCAUCAGACAAAAAACAGCACCAUACGACUUUGGCCUACCUUCCCUUCUAAUUCAAUUCAGUCUUACUGCGCACCACACACCCUCCGAAAUGGGAAUAGAGUAGUAAUCCAGACAGGUGGUCCAGUGGUAAAGAAUCCGCCUUCCAAUUGAGGGGACGCGGGUUUGAUCCCUGGUUGGGGAACUAAGAUCCUACAUGUCACAUGCUGCUGGACAACUAAGCCCGCGCGCCGCAACUAGAGAGAGAAAACCGGCACGCCACAACUAGAGAGAAACCCGCGCGCCGCAACGAAAGAUCCGGAGCACCGCAACUAAGACCCAACGCAGCCAAAAAAUAAAAAUAGAUAAAUAAAUUAAAUAAAUUAAAAAAAGAAAGUCAUCUGCAUUACUUGAGUUUGUAUAUUUUAAACAAAUAUAUCUCAGAAGUAGAACUGUCAAGUAGAGUAAAUGAUACAGCUCCAAGGAAGGCCUAUGAGUUCUUUCAAUUUUUAAUAAUAAAAUAUGCUGUUGUUAUUGUUAUUGAUAUUGAUCAUGCAAUU